Macaca mulatta (Rhesus monkey) is the source of this 3236-nucleotide long non-coding RNA. RefSeq lists it as uncharacterized. Lineage: Eukaryota; Metazoa; Chordata; Mammalia; Primates; Cercopithecidae. The record is from RefSeq and is a predicted model, not a curated record.
CGCGGCCAUCCCCGCGGACAACGUUUGCAAGGCGGGCUGAGGGUGGAGGAGGUCUCGGGGAAAGCGGACCGAAGGGAAAGAAAAAUCAGAAAGACAAUUAGGAUUUGUCCCGGUGCCUGAACUCUCCCCCCUUCCCUAAAGGACCAAGCCGUGGCUGCGGGGACGCCAACACCAUUGCGGGGGCUUCCCUGGGUCCACAGUCCCGCGCUCCGCGGCGCAGAAUGAACUAUCAGUGGGCGCCAUCGAUCGCGCCGCGCUCGCGGCCUCCCCCGGAUCACACAGCCCCGCGGAAUGAAUUCGUCCCUUUAAAACAUUACAGGAAUACUGAGAUUGCGGAGGAAGUGACACUUGACCCUGCAACCCGAGCCCCGCGGGGCGGCCGCUGCCUUUCAAAAUAGCAGUCCCCGAGCAGCGCCGCGCGGCGGUGGCGGGCCGAGCCCUCCGGGGCCUCUCCGGGUCCCCUUCCUCGCCCCCACCCCCGCCUUGCUCGCAGCCUGCCUCGGUCGACCCCUUCCCGCAGCCGCGUUUCAAUCAAACUCACUGGGACGGCACGGAGCAGGCGCCGGGGACAAGAAACGCCGCGCCGGCGACAACUCUCGGACCAGCGGAGCCGCGCGCCCCCGCGCCCCCGCCCACACGCGCCCGGCGUGCUGGAACCCGCACCUGGCCCGCGGGUAGCCGGAAAAGCGGGGUGCCGGCCCGCCAGCGGGGAUGCCCCUGCUCCCCCAGCUCCAAGCGCUGCGGCUGAGAAACCCACUCGGCCGGCCUAGCCCCCGCCGGAGCCCUGCACCGUGGGGAGCCGGAGGCCGGGGAGGGGACCAGAGAAGGGGAAGACAGGGCAAUGCGCUUCUUCCUACCCUGGGACAGCGCCUGAACUGGGACUGGGUGCAGGGGAAACGACGGGAAGAGCUGAGAAAAGAAAGGAAAAGAGGAAGAGACGAGGCGGGGAAGAAAGGGAUCCGGAGUGGCCCGCCCUCGGGCCUCCGCGCCCGUGAAGCCCCGCGCCCUCGGCAAGGCCACGCUUCGCCGGCAUGGGAAGCCAGGAGGCAGCGGAGCGCGGGUCUGGGGCACCGGGGACAUUGACAGACAUAAUUGGGGUGCCAAACUGGGCUUCUUAAUUUCGAAGCCAGGAUGGGCGGGUGUGGCCGGGGGCGCGCGGGGCCAGCCAACUUGGGGUGCUUUCCUUGUGGGCUCACACCGGCAGCGCGGACCCGCAGAGGCCGCGGGGCCUGCAAGUUCGUCGCCUCCUUUUGUUCUGGCCUCGGCUGUAAUUUAACAUAAAAUGCCUGUUAGAAUCACUGCUGCUGAAACACGCGUUUCUCCUUGUUUUGCCACCAACUAACAGGAUUAGCCAACAAGAGCGAGAUUUCAAAUUAACCAUAAAAAUUACAAAUUGCAAUUCAUUUAGCUGCCCACUUACUACAUUAAAAGACAUAAAUAAGUGAAUCUGCGUAUUCAGAGGGUUGAACCGCCCGCAAGGAAGCGAAAGCGGCUGAACUCAGGCCUCCGGGUCGGAGUCAGGGCUGUGGCGCUCAGGCCUCCGGGUCGGAGUCAGGGCUGCGGCGCUGGAGAGAGCGAGCAGCCGCGGAAUUUGCACCAUCUUCCGAGGGCAGAAAGAAGCAGCUUGGGUCAUUCGAGAAACCGAGGAGGAAGAAGGGAGCUGCGGGGCCCAGGCGUUUUUAGCACCUGUAUUCUCCCUGGGGAGGGACUGUGUGGGGGAAGAAGGGUGGGGCGCGGAGACAGGUCACUGGUUCUAAUUCGAGUUCGUCGGAAGGAAAGGCGAGAAAACCCAGCAAACGUGCUUUGCAAAAUUCUGGGGAGGGGGUGAUUCUCGUGUGGUGCGUCGUGUGUGAAGAAUAAGACGCUGGCGAAUUUUGCAGUGAAUUUAGAAGAGGCCCUGGCUAAAUUACUAAUUCCAGUCCAUUUGCAAGAGCCCUUGCCCUUUUUGUUUUGUUUUGUUUUUAGGGAAGCAGGCCCUUCCCCUUGUGAAGCCGCGACCAGCGUAAAACCCCGUUUGUGCAUUGAAGCUUUUCGAGUUAUGGAUACUCAGAAAUCUACAGAUUUGUCUGAGCAGUGGACCUGGCGGGAGGCAUGGGUCAGCGUGGUUCUAGAGUUUUCGUUCCUAAACCGGCUGGUCACGGACCCACGCUUUCGUCUCUCUGCAGCGGGGACGAGGCCUCCCGAAGGGAGGUGGAGUUGCCCCCGCAGCGCGCGGUCGGCAGGGGGCGCGCUGGGACACCCUGGCAGCGCCCACUCCAGCCCAGCCGGCCCCGCGUUAGGGCCGCGUGGGGGAAGCUCCAGCUUCUCUCCCUGGGAGAAGCGGCCCCGCAAGUCGGCCUGAGCCCGCGGGUUUCUACCGGACAACGUGGGCACCUGCCCCGGGACUUCCCUGAAAUGGAGGAAUGCGCGCCCCCGGGGAGCGCGGGAGGCCCAGCGAGCGCUGCAGCACCUGCAGCCUGGGGCGGUAGGAGGGGCGGGGCCGGGGCAUAAGAACCGGAGCUGGUUCCAUGCAGUGUGUGCGCCCAGCCCCAGGCCAGGCGCUGUCCCAGGGUAGGAAGAAAGUGCGCGAGGUGGCCCUGGUUGCACCCACGAAGCGCGCCCUACUGCUUUCCGGACACUCAUUCUCCAGCACCCAGGGCACUCCCCGCCGGCGCUCCUGCCCUAAACUCUCGGCUAAGUCCAGAGCCGGGCAUGCCUUCUCCCUAGAAGGUUCUCGAGCAAAUCGCAAACAAGUAGUCCUAUUCCACCCGAGCCUCAUGCCUCCACUGGUAAUGCCGGUUAAGAAGGCCAGGGGCGAGGGGAGGUGGGAGCAAGGCCAGGUGGGCGCCUAGGGGUGUCCAGAGCACACUGCUAACGCUGGCCGCGCUGUUCCGCUCAGCCUAACCUUUCUUGCCCUCCUGAACCUGCUCGUGGAGAGGGCGCCAUGCAUCGGGAAGGCCGGGAAGCGGGGGCGCAGACUUUUCCAGAAGUUCUGUGGGACCACGGGGCGGUUGCCUCACACGGGCGAGGCCUCGGCGCCUUUGUUGACCCCCAGGAAACCGUGGGCGGGACGCCUGGACUGCCCCCAUCUAGCUGUCCCAACCUGUGCUGCCUCUUUACUGCAGGGGAGAGGGGGCGCCCAGCCUGGACCGGUGCAGCGCGGUCGGCUCGCCUUGGAACAGGAAAUGAGGGGAUGGAGCGGGUCACGAAGUUGUUUUCCUAUUCUCCUGGCUGGAUUUAUCAUUCUUGCACACCAA